UACGGAGGGUGCAAGCGUUAUCCGGAAUCACUGGGUUUAAAGGGUACGUAGGCGGCCAUAUAAGUCAGAAGUGAAAUGCCCCGGCCCAACCGGGGAACUGCUUUUGAUACUGUUUGGCUUGAAUUGGGUUGAGGCAGGCGGAAUGCGUCAUGUAGCGGUGAAAUGCUUAGAUAUGACGUGGAACACCGAUUGCGAAGGCAGCCUGCCAAGCCUUGAUUGACGCUGAGGUACGAAAGCGUGGGUAGCGAACAGG
RNAcentral lists this ribosomal RNA (253 nucleotides) under uncultured bacterium. Its description in RNAcentral is "partial 16S ribosomal RNA". It matches the Rfam family "Bacterial small subunit ribosomal RNA", at positions 524 to 776 of the family's 1533-position model. The record is from RNAcentral.